This 468-nucleotide ribosomal RNA is filed under the name uncultured bacterium. Its description in RNAcentral is "partial 16S ribosomal RNA". It matches the Rfam family "Bacterial small subunit ribosomal RNA", at positions 28 to 507 of the family's 1533-position model. The record is from RNAcentral.
GACGAACGCUGGCGGCGUGCUUAACACAUGCCAGUCGAACGGAAAGGCCCUGCUUUUGUGGGGUGCUCGAGUGGCGAACGGGUGAGUAACACGCGAGUAACACGCCCUUGACAUUGUGAUAACUUCAGGAAACUGGGGCUAAUAUCGGAUAGGAGCUCCUGCUGCAUGGGGUGGGUUGGAAAGAUUCGGCGUUUGGGGAUGGACUCGAAGGUUACCAGCUUGAUGGGCGGGUAGUGGCUUCCCAAGGCUUUGAAGGGUAGCCGGCCUGGGAGGGGGACCGGCCACCUGGGUACUACGGUAGGGAGCAGUAGCCUACGGGCGGCAGCAGUCGAGAGUCUUGCAGAGUGGGCGGACGCCUGAUGUGACGACGCCGGGUGCGUAAUGCCGGCCUUCGAGUUAUAAACCGCUUUCGCCUGUGCCGAAGCGUGCGUGACGGUAAUGGGUAAAGAAGCACCGGCUAACUACGUG